Molecule: ribosomal RNA, 508 nt
Filed under: uncultured bacterium
Lineage: Bacteria
Description: partial 16S ribosomal RNA
Rfam family: Bacterial small subunit ribosomal RNA
Source: RNAcentral
GACGAACGCUGGCGGCGUGCCUAAUACAUGCAAGUCGAACGCUUCGUUCCUCCCGAGUGCUUGCACUCAAUUGGAAAGAGGAGUGGCGGACGGGGGAGUAACACGUGGGUAACCUACCCAUCAGAGGGGGAUAACACGUGGAAACAGGUGCUAAUACCGCAUAACAGUUUAUGCCGCAUGGCAUAAGAGUGAAAGGCGCUUUCGGGUGUCGCUGAUGGAUGGACCCGCGGUGCAUUAGCUAGUUGGUGAGGUAACGGCUCACCAAGGCCACGAUGCAUAGCCGACCUGAGAGGGUGAUCGCCCACACUGGGACUGGGACACGCCCCAGACUCCUACGGGAGGCAGCAGUAGGGAAUCUUCGGCAAUGGACGAAAGUCUGACCGAGCAACGCCGCGUGAGUGAAGAAGGUUUUCGGAUCGUAAAACUCUGUUGUUAGUGAAGAACAAGGACGUUAGUAACUGAACGUCCCCUGACGGUAUCUAACCAGAAAGCCACGGCUAACUACGUG